This 429-nucleotide long non-coding RNA is filed under the name Nicotiana benthamiana. Its description in RNAcentral is "long non-coding RNA (NBEN_LNC039956)". The record is from RNAcentral. Lineage: Eukaryota; Viridiplantae; Streptophyta; Magnoliopsida; Solanales; Solanaceae.
GUAACUUUCCUCUGAAAACCCACGGCUAAAGGCCUCGCCCAUCUCCUCAACCGUAGCGCAUGUUUUCAGUGAUUGAGCAGCAUCAGAGCGGAGAUUUGUAGUAUGAGCUGGCUUAGCAUCUCUGUUUUCAGAAUCAGAGGUGGUGAUUGGGAGUUGGGUGGAUGGAUCGACGGGCCUCAAAGUUAGGAUCAAUAGGCCAAUGGCUGUGAAAAUUGCAGGUCAGAGGUGGUGAUUGGGAUGUGGGUGGAUGGAUCGACGGACCUCAAAGUUAGGAUCAAUAGGCCAAUGGCUGUGAAAAUUGCAGUGGCGACGAGUGCGCGGUGGAGAGAGAGUCGUCUCCGACGAGAUCCCAGCUGGAUCCUCAUUUCUUUACCGUGUGAAUACUGAAUACCGUACUUCUUCCCUAGCCAGCUUUUAGCCUUUAACUUU